RNAcentral lists this small nuclear RNA (18 nucleotides) under Arabidopsis thaliana (thale cress). RNAcentral's name for it is "snRNA_06412". Lineage: Eukaryota; Viridiplantae; Streptophyta; Magnoliopsida; Brassicales; Brassicaceae. The record is from RNAcentral.
GUACCGCGAGGUAAAGAU